AUACUUACCUGGACGGGGUCUAUGGUUGAUCAUGAAGGAUCAUGGCCUAGGUUAGUGACUUCCAUUGCACUUUGGAAGGGCGCUCGCCUAAGAUCUCCCCACCGAGGGAGAGUCUACGUCAUAAUUUGUUACUAAGGGGGUGUGCGUCCGCGCUGCCCCUGC
Molecule: small nuclear RNA, 162 nt
Organism: Papaver somniferum (opium poppy)
Lineage: Eukaryota; Viridiplantae; Streptophyta; Magnoliopsida; Ranunculales; Papaveraceae
Product: U1 spliceosomal RNA
Exons: 1
Source: RefSeq, a predicted model, not a curated record